This 898-nucleotide long non-coding RNA is filed under the name Fragaria vesca (wild strawberry). Its description in RNAcentral is "long non-coding RNA (FVES_LNC005303)". Lineage: Eukaryota; Viridiplantae; Streptophyta; Magnoliopsida; Rosales; Rosaceae. The record is from RNAcentral.
UUGAAUUGACAACUUGUAUGAAAAUUUUACUUAAUUAUGUUAAUCCGACAACAUUUAUGUGUUGUCUGAUAUUGAAUUUUAUUGAAUUGACAACUUGUGUAAAAAUUUUACUUAAUUAUGUUAAUCCGACAACAUUUAUGUGUUGGCUGAUACUGGAAUAGUGUAAUUUCUGAUUUUGGAGGUAAACGAAACCCUAGCCUUAAUUUUAACUUAGGUAGAUUCCCUCUAAACCAUUUCAUUUUAUAGUUACUUUUUAGUUUCUGAAAUACCUUUAGAAAGAAUACCCUCAACAAUUGAGUUUGGUUCCUCCCAACAUUUGAUUUUGUAGCUAGACAAAUUAAUAUGUUAGUGUGUUAGGGCGACAUCUAUGUAUAAGGAAAAGAGGCGCAAUUCUAAAUUUUUUGAAAUUUGAAUACCAAAUUUUUAAAUCUUAGUUGUUGGUUUGGGAAUUAAAGGAAAUGAGGGGGCUGACUUCAGUCAAAAGCCAUUAUGGGCGUUGACCCGUUCUUCUCUCCCUCUCCUCUCGACAUCGCCUGUGUCAGUGGCGUCCUCCGCCUGACGCAACCGUCUUCGGCCACUGCACACCGCGAGACCACCAUCAAAACGUCCGACUUCCUCUUCUUUACCUAACCCAACCCUUAUAUCGUUUGUAGAGCCAUAGAUGAGAGAGAUCGGUGGAGGAGGAACCCAGUUGUCUUCUCGGAAUUCUGGCGUUUCAGGCCACCGUCUGGUUGGUCGAUGGUAAGAUCUUUCUCCUUCUCAAUUCCCUCUUCCUUUCUGUGUUAUUGUUUCUCUAACUCGUGCCCUAAUCGGAGAUAUCCCCAAUUCUGUUUUUCGGGGUUUUUUUCGGUUGAGUCUCCGGCGAGGUUUCCCGGCGUCGUUCUUCCCCUUCUCGAAU